Podarcis lilfordi (Lilford's wall lizard) is the source of this 66-nucleotide non-coding RNA. NCBI's taxonomy places the organism in Eukaryota, Metazoa, Chordata, Lepidosauria, Squamata, Lacertidae. The record is from the annotation of a GenBank genome assembly.
GCAGCUCAGUCACAGAGCAUCUGCUUGGCAUGCGGAAGGUCACAGGUUCAAUCCCCGGUGUCGCCA